UACGUGGGGUGCAAACGUUGCUCGGAAUUAUUGGGCGUAAAGCGUGCGCAGGCGGUUUUGUAAGACAGAUGUGAAAUCCCCGGGCUUAACCUGGGAACUGCAUUUGUGACUGCAAGACUAGAGUGCGGCAGAGGGGGGUAGAAUUCCACGUGUAGCAGUGAAAUGCGUAGAUAUGUGGAGGAAUACCGAUGGCGAAGGCAGCCCCCUGGGUCGACACUGACGCUCAUGCACGAAAGCGUGGGGAGCAAACAGG
RNAcentral lists this ribosomal RNA (253 nucleotides) under uncultured bacterium. RNAcentral's name for it is "partial 16S ribosomal RNA". It matches the Rfam family "Bacterial small subunit ribosomal RNA", at positions 524 to 776 of the family's 1533-position model. The record is from RNAcentral.